This 458-nucleotide ribosomal RNA is filed under the name uncultured bacterium. RNAcentral's name for it is "partial 16S ribosomal RNA". It matches the Rfam family "Bacterial small subunit ribosomal RNA", at positions 338 to 795 of the family's 1533-position model. The record is from RNAcentral.
CCUACGGGAGGCUGCAGUGAGGAAUAUUGGUCAAUGGGCGAGAGCCUGAACCAGCCAAGUCGCGUGAGGGAGUACUGCCCUAUGGGUUGUAAACCUCUUUUGUCGGGGAGCAAAAGCCGGACGUGUCCGGCUGUGAGCGUACCCGAAGAAAAAGCAUCGGCUAACUCCGUGCCAGCAGCCGCGGUAAUACGGAGGAUGCGAGCGUUAUCCGGAUUUAUUGGGUUAAAAGGGGGCGCAGGCGGAUUUUUAAGUCAGCGGUAAAAUCGUGGGGCUCAACCCCAUCCAGCCGUUGAAACUGGGGAUCUAGAGUGUGCGAGAGGUAUGCGGAAUGCGUGGUGUAGCGGUGAAAUGCAUAGAUAUCACGCAGAACCCCGAUUGCGAAGGCAGCAUACCGGUGCACAACUGACGCUCAGGCACGAAAGCGUGGGUAUCGAACAGGAUUAGAUACCCCUGUAGUC